CGGCGGGUUGUGGAGGAGCUGCGACGUAUAAUCCCGCUGGAGGAGCACCCGGCGGCGCAGGGACGAAGGCCGGUCCUGGUCCUCGUGCUGGAUACG
Molecule: unclassified non-coding RNA, 96 nt
Filed under: Rhodotorula toruloides
Lineage: Eukaryota; Fungi; Basidiomycota; Microbotryomycetes; Sporidiobolales; Sporidiobolaceae
Source: RNAcentral